Molecule: non-coding RNA, 201 nt
Filed under: Flavobacterium sp. 9R
Lineage: Bacteria; Pseudomonadati; Bacteroidota; Flavobacteriia; Flavobacteriales; Flavobacteriaceae
Source: RNAcentral
UAUUUGCAUCCGAAUUGAGGUUGCGUUUUACUUUUUUUAGAAGACGCAUUAAAAGGGAAUUAGGUUUAAAACCUAAGCUGUACCCGCAACUGUAAGCUACUAAGCUUGUUGUUAUCUACAAAGCCACUGCUCGCCGCGGCGAGUGGGAAGGUCAACAACAAGACGCAAGCCAGGAGACCUGCCUUUUUUCUUAACCAAUAA